RNAcentral lists this ribosomal RNA (492 nucleotides) under uncultured bacterium. RNAcentral describes it as "partial 16S ribosomal RNA". It matches the Rfam family "Bacterial small subunit ribosomal RNA", at positions 29 to 507 of the family's 1533-position model. The record is from RNAcentral.
AGUGAACGCUGGCGGUAGGCCUAACACAUGCAAGUCGAACGGCAGCACAGUAAGAGCUUGCUCUUACGGGUGGCGAGUGGCGGACGGGUGAGGAAUACAUCGGAAUCUACUUUUUCGUGGGGGAUAACGUAGGGAAACUUACGCUAAUACCGCAUACGACCUACGGGUGAAAGCAGGGGAUCUUCGGACCUUGCGCGAUUGUAUGAGCCGAUGUCGGAUUAGCUAGUUGGCGGGGUAAAGGCCCACCAAGGCGACGAUCCGUAGCUGGUCUGUGAGGAUGAUCAGCCACACUGGAACUGAGACACGGUCCAGAGUCCUACGGGAGGCAGCAGUGGGGAAUAUUGGACAAUGGGCGCAAGCAUGAUCCAGCAAUACCGCGUGGGUGAAGAAGGCCUUCGGGUUGUAAAGCCCUUUUGUUGGGAAAGAAAAGCAGCAGGUUAAUACCCCGCUGUUCUGACGGUACCCAAAGAAUAAGCACCGGCUAACUUCGUG